This is a long non-coding RNA of Drosophila yakuba, 5705 nucleotides long. RefSeq lists it as uncharacterized. The record is from RefSeq and is a predicted model, not a curated record. Lineage: Eukaryota; Metazoa; Arthropoda; Insecta; Diptera; Drosophilidae. The transcript has 7 exons.
AUCUUCAGAUUUUAACGAUCACUGUCAUCUUCAGUAAUUACUUCGUAUUUGGAAAUCCCAGCCUACAUUUGAUACGCCCAAAUAUGUUCGCCUGAUUUGCAAACGGAAUUCUUCUUUCAACCAGGAAUGCUGGAUUUCCGGCUUCCUGGAAACUGACCAGGUAGCAGCGGCUUAAAAAUGGAGGCCUUUUGGAGCGGAGGGAAUCCGAAUUUUGGCAGCCGCACCGCCACCAACAACCUGACACACACACACAGGCACAAACACCGAUGCAGACGUAAAGUACAAAUGUGCCAGAUGAUAACAUUUCGGGUCACCCCCGUUCACAUAUCCCACAGCGAUUCCAACUAGCCUCCAAAGUCUUAUCUGCAUCCUCGCGCUAAUACGUAUGUGCGUACACUGGUAGAACGACGAGAACAUUUGGAUUAUUAGGAAGAUAGAAAGUUUUUGUUUAUUGUCAAGCAAAUGGUAAUUGCACCGGAUUUUAAUCACAUACUUUCGCUCACUGCACUCAGCCUUUUGGCUCCUUCGGCAAAUUUGGCCAACUGCUCGGUGUUUUGGUUUCGGUGCGUGCGAGUGUGGAUGAGGAUGGGGAUGGGGGUGUGCGUGUGCCGGAUUGCAUUCCUUGAAUGCUCAUUUGCCUCGCUUUUGCUGCGCUUUUACUGCCAGAGCCCCACAGCCACACACACACCUCCACACGAACACACUUGCAUACCCACGCACACACACACACACACACGCACUCACACGUGUGAGAGGAGGGGUGAGAUUUUUCUGUUGCUGUUGAUGCGAUUUUAUGUAUUUCCAUGAUGCGCUUAUUCGACUACGGCAUUAUCCUGGCGAAGCCACGCAGCGCUUUCCAUGCAUACAAAUUGCUAAAUUAUUUAAGCAGCGACAACGGCCCAGUUGCAGGAGGAAAACUGGAGGAAAACCGGAGGAAAACCAGGAGAAAGCAGGAGAAGCUGGGUCAAAUCCAGGCGUAUGGGGAACGAGCGGUUGCUAUUAGUCCAAGUUGUCCUGUCCGCCAUUCGCUGCCGUUGGCCUACCCCACCAUAUCCUCCCAUAUCCUUUUUAAGGAGCGUCGAAAAGAAAGCCAAAUGAUUUCAUUUAACCAGCGAAAUGACACCGCCACCAAUACACACUCACACACACACACACGCGCGUUGAGAACAACAAGGACACAACAAGGAAGGACGAGGAGGGACGAGAAAUGGCGGCGAAAGCGAGUGUAAUUGCAGCAAAUGAAUAAAUGAGGCGAGGCAGGCGAAAGCCACCGCUGGUUGCUCCUUGCGGAGGAGUCCUCCAUGGAAAACCCCCUGAUAUCCUGCCAUCUGCCACUGUGCUUGUGUGUGUGAGUUGGCUUGAAUGCAACGCAUGUUUUGCCGCUUAUUGCCCCAGCAGCAACAACAACAACAAUGGCAAACAAGAGCCAAAAAAAUCGGAAUGAAAAUGAUGGAAAGAAAGCAGUAAUCACAAGUAGUCAACUUUCAGUUUCAAAAAUCACGGCAUCGCUUUAAGGAGCGCCAUAAUAUGUUUUCCUUCAUUUGGAAACGGAAAAUACCCGCAAUUUGCAGGAGCUCCAAGAUGGAGGAGUCGCCGUGCCGCAAAAUGCGCCGCCGGCGGGGAAUCGUUUUUGUUUCUGAAGUUUGCCCAACUGGAGCAUCGCGACGAGCAAUGCCGGAGAUCCGGAGGCGCUGGAGGAGCUAUGGGCUACGGGAUAGCCACCCCCAGAUGCUCGGACUUGGAGCGGCGAUGCAGCGAGGAGCGAAGGCGGCCCGGCAACCUGGCCAACAACUUGGGGCGACUUUUUGCACUCAUUUCGCACGUUCAAACAAUGGAAGUGUGUAGGUGCGCGACAAGGGGGGAAAAGUAAUUGGUGGACCAGGACGCAGGACAUGGCCCCGGGAUGAGGAAGUAGCUGGCGAAAGGAACCAACUCUGGCUGGCACACGCGUCUAAACAGCGGUGCAAAAUUGGGAGCCAGGCGACGAGAUUUCAAACCAGUUUAAACCCCCAAAAACAGCCCAUAAAUAUUAUAUUUACUUAAGCGAGUUUUUUCCAUUUUUCCAUUUCCCCAUUGAACACCUUUUGAUACAUUUAUUUUGCAUUUAGCAUCUAUGCAGCAUAAUCGCAUCUCUGGAAAAACUCACUCACAUUCAAGAAGUCCUGCGCUGCGUUCGCUUUCAUCUUUGUCGGCUGGCUGUUUGUGGAGAUACUUGGAUAGCUGCUGGGUUUUCGACUGGGAAAACUGCGGGAAAACUGAAGGGAAGCACACAUGCAAACACUCACACACGGAUGAACAAUCGCUUUUCCUGCUGCCUGGAAAAACUGAGCCAACAAAAAUUGUUUUUAAUUGGCGCCCAAUUCGAAGCAAGCCCGAAAAUUAAACAAACAAUUUGAUGAGGCAAAGCCAAAAAUCGUAGAUGUGCAAUUGUUUCACAAUUUGAUCAUGAAAAUCCAUUUUCAUGGGGAAACAUCAACUUCAAAAUGCCAGCGAAAGUUUGGAAUUUCGAAAAAUCAUUUUUUCAAGGAUACUGUCAAGGAUCAAGGAUCAUGUGGGUAAAUGGCUUUCCAGGUAACUUUCACUGGCGUUUCCAGGAGCCUUUCCUACCUUUUACCAAAAAGCAAUUGCACUGGCACGCUGACUCAUGGACGGCAAUUUCAAAAGGAAUUUGAAAUCGAGCUGGGAACAACAAAUGCAACAAAAACAACAGAAACAGCAAGAAGUGCAACAACAAGAAAAGCGGCAGCAAUUGCAAUCAUUUACAUAAAAAACAAUGCAAAUAGAGUAAAAUUAAGCAAAUAUAAAUAAAAUGCAUUGCUCAAAAAACAUCAACUGGAAAAUGAAAUGGAAACGUGUGGGCAGCAACCAGGCAUAUACUACCACACAAAUGUAUGUAUGUAUUACUAUGUAUGUGUAUGUGUGCAAGAGCAUGUGUGUGUGUGGACAGCAUAAUGCACAUGUGGAAAAUGAAAUCAAAUGCAAUAAAAUGCUCUGACAUGUUGGGAUGCGUAACUGAAACUAGCCGGGAAGAUAAUAAAACAAAAUGAACCCAGAAUGGGAAUCAUAUAAAAUGAAACCGAACCAAAUUGCAUUUGCAAUCCCAUCCGGAUCAUACAUAUGUAUGUAUAUAUAUAAUCUAUAUAGCCGACUGAAUUUGCCAUGGAAAUAGAUGUGCACGGGAAUAAGCGAGCUGACCAACAGCUUUCUGGCCAUAAGAGUUGGCCUAAUGACUUCAUUCCCGGCCCAAAGUGUUAACUAAAGCAAGUCAGCUGCUUACGAGUGAUUAUCCAAUGCGAAUUGGAUAAAAAAUUCAAAGAAAUCAUGAGAAUACGAUUUCAACGAUGACAAAAUUAAAGAAAUCAAAGAAUUAAUGAUAAAUUUUAAUAGAAUGAUUUCACUCGCAUUGAAUAAACAUAAUGCAGGCGGAGCUUGAAAUGCAUUGCACAUGCAGUUGUUCACUUCAAUUCACAUUCACAUUCUUCGCGGAAAUUUAAAUGAAAAUUGGCCGGAAUAUGUAUUAACAUACAUACAUAUGUAUGUAUAUGUACAUAUGUAUAGUGUAUCCUUCGCUUGCCUCGCUUCUGCGACGUUCUGCCAUCAAUAUCGCAGCAUAAAUAUUUACAUGCUGCCGAGAACGCGAACAAACAAACAAACUUUAUUUUUGGGCAGCAGGAAACAAGUGCAAUCCCUUGCCCUUCCCCUCUUCCUUCCCCCUUUCUUCAACCCUUUCUCCGCCGCUUUCGCCGUCCACCUUUUGCGCUUUCUUCGCUGCCGCUUGACAAUGUAAGCUCAAACAAUUUCAUUUCCAAGCUGGCACACUCACUCACAGAUGCUCGCACACACACACACACACACACACACACACACGCGAGCACGUGCGCGCACACAGAUACAAAUGCAAACAAGUACGCACAAACACACACACACAUACACACGCAUAACGGUACAUUAAUUGAUAAUUGUUUUGUGCUCAAAAGAAAUUAAAGAGCAGAAGCUGCCCUCUCGCUUCUCCACUCCCUCGUUUCCCUGCUUUUCUCCCCUCUCCCCAACCUGCACCCCUUUCUCUCUUUCUCCACCCUUUUUCCCCACUUUCCCCUCACGCCUCAUUACACUGCAGAUGUAUUGCGAACACAGGAGACAGACGGAAGUAAAUAAAACGCGAGUCGACAGCCAAGUGAAAAGUCUCUGCAGUGGAAAAAGCAUCAAGAAUAUUUACCAAAAAACCGAAAAUAUCUGCAAAUAUGCGCUUUGUAUUUCAUUAGUGAGUUGUUGUAAUUGCUGGAAAUAUGAUUUCAAGUUUAUAAAUAUAUGUUUUGGCUUCUUCUGGUUUCUCUCAGUGCAUUGUGUUUCGCGUUUCCUAAUACAAUCUGCACAAACUCUACGUUUUCCUUUUGUUUUUGCGCUGUGCUCCUCGCUCUUUUUUCAUUAACUUUUUGCGUUUGCUGCUUGUUUCGGACAUGUUCUAUGUGCCACGCCCCUUCGCCGCCCCGCGGCCAACUUAAUUGAACGAUUAGUUUUUGUACGUGGACCACGCCCACAGCGGCGUGGCAGCAGGUGCCGCCCACAAAUCGCCCCCUCAGCUCAGUUCCCUCGAUUUUGAAACAUCCGGAUUUUCGCUGUCCAUCGUGGGUCACUAUUUAAUUUUAUCUGCUACGUUUUGGCUUUUAUUCUCGUUUUUAUCGCAACAGCAAGCAAACUAUGUACUACCAUUUGCCACGCCUCCCGUCCCGCCGCCCCUCGAGAGGGGGUGAAAUGGGCGAAAAGGGGGGAAGAGGAAAGGGGGGUUGUCAAAGUGAGGAAAGGAAUGAAAAAGUCAAAUGCCAAGUCACUAAAAAGUCAAAAGGCCCCAAAGAAGCAGCGACAACAGCAAGUUAUAGUAAUGACAAUCUACUGGCCGAGCAAGAGGAAGCGGGAUAGGAUGCGGGGUAGGAGCGAUAGAGAGCGAGAGGGAGUGAGAGGGAGGUGCGAAAGAGAGCGGUAGAUGGGCACAAAAGUUAAAAUAAAUAAAACAAAGCGAACGCAUGAAAUGACACAACAGAGACAAAGGAAGCUGCCGAAAAGGGGCUGCUAGGGGGACGGUAAGGGGUGACAAGGGGGAGGGGUAGAAGGGGUGUUAAAGUACCGCCCCCAAACAACAAAAACAACACCGCCCACCCACCAAGCAGCAGCAGCUGGGCGACAAAACGUGGCCGAACGACACGAGAACCCGCCUAAAAAUGACAGCAAACGUGGCAAGAUGUGGCGCUCCAGCAUAUACACUGCGAAAAUACAGCCAUGGAAAUUAUUCAAGAAUUUAAAUAACUCAAAAAUGCCUCGAAAAUUUACAUUUACAAUUACAAAAUACCAUUCCAGUAAACCAAAAAAAAACAUCUACCUUGUUUUAUUACAAAUAUAAAUAUUAUAUAUAUAUAUUUUUUUUUUAUUAAAAAAUUUGGAUACAUGUAGAAUUAAUUUAUUGUACUGCUACAUUCAGGCAGCCUAAACAAUUAUAUGUUUAAGGAAUAGGACAUAGUAAUUUAUAAGAUAUAAGAUUAACAAUUUUUAAUGAUAUUCAAUGUUUUAUAUUUAUUUAAUGUCUAAAUUUAAAAUGACAGUUAUACGCGCCGAGUGAGGGGGGAAAUUAAAAAGUUCUCUGAUAGGAAGCUGAUUAAAGUCGAUUGAGUAUUAAUAUUAUAGACAUCAGUGCCAAUGACGAGAAACAAAAA